Dreissena polymorpha is the source of this 303-nucleotide long non-coding RNA. RefSeq lists it as uncharacterized. The record is from RefSeq and is a predicted model, not a curated record. Lineage: Eukaryota; Metazoa; Mollusca; Bivalvia; Myida; Dreissenidae. The transcript is spliced from 3 exons.
GGGGUAAUCACGUGAUGAUCUAAAGGAAAUCAAGAUGGCGGCGUUCGUUCCAAAACAGGAAAACGUGUGGCCUACCAAAGGGCUUCCGCAAGAAUAAUAACUGCAAGUGACCACGCGUUCGAUUAGCCUGGAAGGAAGCGAUUAGCCCGGAAGGAAGCGAUUGCCUGGGCGGAAAAGAAUUGACCAUGUCGCCACGGAAAGAAAUGCUGUUCAGAAAGGGGCAAUUGGGUGCGCUGGGAGAAGGCCCGAACUAACUACAGCAAAAUGCUGCCAACCAAAAUAAUGGGCAUAGAGUAAAAUGAC